This is a long non-coding RNA of Cavia porcellus (domestic guinea pig), 2288 nucleotides long. RefSeq lists it as uncharacterized. The record is from RefSeq and is a predicted model, not a curated record. The transcript is spliced from 3 exons. NCBI's taxonomy places the organism in Eukaryota, Metazoa, Chordata, Mammalia, Rodentia, Caviidae.
UACAUAUAGAGACUUCUCCUAAACAGUUUAUGAGAAUCGAUUAUAUCACGCACAAUGAAAUGAACAGCUACUUUAAAGAAAAGGAGCCAUUAAGGCACCCGGUGCUGAUUCUGUAGCAUCAUGCUAUGAAAUCCAGCAAUGCUGUUAUUCUUUCCUCAGAGUGAUGUGACUCUCUUUUGUAUUGUUUAAUUUCAGGAGACAUGCAGGGAGGGAAAGCUAAUUUGAAGAGAACACGAAGCAUGACAUGGCAGCCACUGUUGCCUUCCCUAUUAUUUGUUUUUGAAGUCCUAAAAUGCCUCCAUCAUCCUGUUCUGAUCAGUUUAAUACUAUUUUGUUUUGUAUGAAUUCAUUGCAUGUGAAGAUAUGGACACUAUUUAAAGGAAAACAAGAGACAAUAUGAUAGCCAGUGAAGAUCUCCUGUUGUCUUGCUUUGAAAUCUGUCUCUUACAUUGUUUUCUUCUGAUCUGUUUUGUUCUAAUUAAUUUUACCCUCUUUAAAAUAAAAUUUAAAUUUAAAUUUACUGACUGUUAAAAAUGUAUUUUUUUUUCAAUUCCAGAGUGGCUUCAACUUUAUCUCAAAAGAGAACACAGUCCUUCCAAAAAGAAAAUUAGCAAUAAGGAAGAAUAUUCUACCAAAAAAGGAAAGAUGAGUACUGUGUUGCCUGGACAAAUAGUAACUUCUGAAGGAUGUGCUCCCCAAAUGCAAGGCUGCAAAGAAAAGAAAAACAAAACAAAAAAAGAUACAAUAUUUGGGGCAUGUAAGAAGAGUAAAGCCAGCUGAAAUCGUUACAAGAUAGAUGUUGCUUAGACACAGAAAGCAAGUAGCACAGAUUGGAAGAAAGGGAUGGUGUUACCAGCAUGAAUUCUUUCAGAAUAAGAAACAGAGAAUUGAAGGGGUAUCGGACUUUCACCCUGGGGAGACAAUACGAUAUUGACACACGGGAGUCUGACUUAUGUCACCUAUGAGCAUGUUCUCUACUUGUAUCUAUUUACCUGUAAAAGUUUCAGGGUUAUUCUUCUUUAUUACUGAGUUGUACUCCACUGUAUGAAAACUACCGUUUGUUUUCCCAUUUUUAGAUGUUUAGGUUGUUUCAAGAUUUAGCUAUUACAAACUGUGCUGCUAUAAACAUGGGUGCAUAUGUAUUCCUGUGAUAUGAUGUUUUUAAUUUUUCUGGGAGAAAGUCCAGAAGGAGAAUAACUGGGUCAAAAUUUAAUAUAUUAAUAUAGUGCCAAUAAAUUAACAAUUUGCAAGUAUAUGAAAUGAGAGGGCUCAUUUAUAUAUGUACGUGAUCAUUUCACAUAUAUUUUGCUGAUAUAGAUGAUUUUAAGUACCAAUUAGCAUAAUUCCUUCUUUCAGUAUGAGUAAAGAAAUUAUUUUAUGAGAAUUGAUGCUACGUAGUAACUGUAUCAAAAUUAUUUAAAUAUUGAAGGCUUGUUUAUACAGAACAAAGAAUAAAUCAAAUAGCAUGCCAAUACCUAUUUGAAGAAAAGAUAAAAAUCUUUACAGUAAAACCCAAAUAGAUCAGUAUAGUAAUAGCAAAUGUCAAAAGACGAUUUUAUGGUUUUAUACAUGUUUUUCAAUUCAAGUAUACCUUAAAUAACCCUAACAUAAUUAAAUAACUGUAAAAUGUAGUAACUCAUUGCUAUAUAAUUUGAAAAGAUUUAGAGAUUCUGAGAUUAAUUUAACAAUUUCACAUAAAUAAUAAGGCUGAAAAUGUAAAACUUGCUGGACUUUUUUCUAUUUUCAUAUUCCUGUAAUAAUUUCUUUUUAUGUAGCUUUGCUUUGACUAAUCUAAUAUUUUCAUUUGGCUGUUUAGAAAAACUAUAGUUUUGUGUGGCAAACAAAUUUAUAGAAUCUUAUCAAACGUGUGAAGAUUUCAUCUAUAUUAUGAAUCUUCUACAUAAUAAAAUCUGAUAUUUUAGGAAGAACUGUUCUGGAACAUUAGAAAAACACUGGUGUACUGAACACUCAACUAGAUCCGUUUUAAAAACAUAUUUUCAUGGUAGAGAGAGUAAGUACUGGGGCAGUCAUAUUAGAAUUCCCACUGUUUAUGACCUUGGGUAUCACAGAACUUAUUAAUUAGACAUCUUGUGUAUUCUGGGACAAUUUGGGCUAAUGGAGGGAACUUUUAACAGAAAAACAAGAAUUAGGCUUUUUAUCCUAUUUCUAGCAUGUAGAUUAAUUAGUCAUAUAAAAACAAAGAACAGGAGAAAUUUUUUCCUUUUAAAAUAGCUCACAUAUUGAGAAAAAAAAAAACAGAAACAGCACUGUUGUUAUUAAAAUCAUAU